This 433-nucleotide ribosomal RNA is filed under the name uncultured bacterium. RNAcentral describes it as "partial 16S ribosomal RNA". It matches the Rfam family "Bacterial small subunit ribosomal RNA", at positions 29 to 507 of the family's 1533-position model. The record is from RNAcentral.
AACGAACGCUGGCGGCAGGCCUAACACAUGCAAGUCGAACGAAAUCUUCGUUCUUAGUGGCGCACGGGUGAGUAACACGUUGGAACAUACCUUACGCUCGGGGAUAACAUCGGUAAACUGAUGCUAAUACCGCUUAUGCCCUACGGGGGAAAGAUUCAUCGGCGAACGAUUUGCCCGCGUCCGCUUAGCUGGUUGGUGAGGUAAUCGCUCACCAAGGCUGCGGUCGGUGGCUGGUCGGAGAGGAGGACCAGCCACACUGGGACUGCGGCACGGCCCAGACUCCGACGGAGGGGAGGGGAAGGGAAUACUAGGGGAUGAACGCAAGUGUAGUCCAGCCGUGCGGCGUGUGUGAUGAAGGGGUUAGGGUUGUAAAGCUCGUUCACACGCGACGAAGAUGACGGUAGUGGGAGAAGAAGCCCCGGCUAACUUCGUG